UGGGAACGGAAAAAAAUAAAUAUGACUCAAAUAAAACAGAUAAUUUGUCUAUGCACCAGAAAUUUGAUCAAUUAAUUGAUGAUUAUUUUCCCGAUUUAAAAGACGAAAAAGAAGAGAAAAUAGAAAGAUGUCCAAAAACGGGUGAUUAUGUAUUUAAGAAAAUAAAUAGGGACAAAGAAGAUUAUGUGAGAAUAUAUGAAAGUGACGGUCCUCCUAUAUUUACCGAUUUGGUGGAAAAUGAAUCUAAAAUUGGAACAGUACAUAUUACAAAUCCUUUGCCUAAAAUUGAAAGAAAAAAUGAGUUAAAGAAAGAUUACUUAGAGUGGCUAAAAAUGGAGAGAUUGAUGAAACCCAAUGAAAGAAGAGAAGAAUAUGAACUAAUGCAAAAUAAAUAUUUAGAAGUGUUGAUUCUGUAUAUAAUGAAAACACUGUGUUAUAUAAAGAUAAGUAUGAAGAAAUUAAAAAUAAAGAAAAAUAUAAAAAUAAAAUAUCUCAAGAACGAAGGGAAGCGCUUCAAAAACAAAAUAACAGAAAUGGUGAUAUACUAGCUUUUGAUCCUACUAGUAAAACGUAAAUCCCCAACUAAACCGUUACUGAUGAAUGUUUUUUUUUUUCUUUUUUUUUUUUUUAAUAUUAACAAAAGAUAUGGAAAUAUAUUGUGCAUACAUCUAUGUGUAAUUUACGUAUUUUACUACAUCCAUCAAUAUGAUUUUAUAAAAAAGAGUGUACAUUUAUAAAUUUUUUAUUAUUUGUUUAACAAUAAUUGGACAAACUAUAUAUUGUGAAUUUUUUUAAAUUAUUUGAUUUUAUUUUUAAUACUGCGUUUGUUUAUAUAUUUUUAUAUUAUUUCGUUUAUCAAAUUAAACAUUACAAGUAAGCAAUUAUGGAAAAUAUAUAUAUAUAUAUGAAUAAAACACAAAAAAAAAAAAAAAAAAAGUUAUUU
Molecule: long non-coding RNA, 943 nt
Filed under: Piliocolobus tephrosceles (Ugandan red Colobus)
Lineage: Eukaryota; Metazoa; Chordata; Mammalia; Primates; Cercopithecidae
Description: lncRNA (ENSPTEG00000014231.1)
Source: RNAcentral